UAUAUGUGUGUGUGUGAGCAUUUUCACUCAAGGAAUACUGCUCUGCCCAUUACAACCAAGAUCUUACUUGCAGAAAUAUGAAUAAUAUCCAAGGCAGUCUUCUGUGCCUGACGGCCGGUGACAUUUCACACGAGUUAAAUUGAUGUACAAAAUAAUAAUAAUAAUCUGUCUUAUCAUAAUAUCUGUUUCCGAGUGGGAAGAACAAUAUUAAGAUAUUACAGAAUGUCUGUUAAUAGAAAAUGGUUUCUCUGAUCACAUUAAGAAUAUAUCAAAGCACCAAACACACAUGAAAAGUUCAGAGAAGUUGCACAAUAAGUCAAACUUUGAAUUUCGUUUUACCCAAAUGAAUAUUCUAAGAUUAUUUUGAAACAACAAAUAUCACACAUGUCACUUACAACAAAGCAGAUCCUAUAUUUGGUUGAGAAGACUAAAGAUCAAGAUAUGGUGACAGGAAAUUGGGGGUGUGUCCAAAGACUAUGUUAUAAGUACAUGUAGGGUAUAAGGGACAGAUUCAUACACACUAUGAACUGUAUAUGGGAAUUAUUACUUGUUUUAGGGCACAGGUCAAAGGUAUGGUUGAAGGGGAAUUAUUACUUGUUUUAGGGCACAGGUAUGGCUAUAGGUCUAAGUCUGAUCUUACCUAAAUACUGUAGCUUCAUUAUGGAGGUAUGGACAAUGGGUUACAGCUGUGAUUGUAGGUCUAAGGGAAAAAUCUUGCCUAAAUGGUUCAUGUAUUUUGAUAUCUAUGACUUUGGAAUUGUUUUAAAUGUCUUUAUAUUGAGAAUCAUUACCUAAUAUUCAUUAUGCUGAACCAUACUAGUAAAUGUAACUGCACUGUCAUAAUACUGUACAGACAAUUGGUCCUCAUACAUACUGUACUGUAUAAUUAUGGUCAUACAUAUCAUCAACAUACAUAUCAUUUUCAUACAUAUAAAAGACUGCCAUAAUACCUGUAACUUAACUGGACUGUGAUCAUAAUGUAACUGAAAUGUCAUCAUACAUAUAACUGGACUGGUGUACAUAUUACCGGACUGUUCAUUAAACACAUGACUAUCAUUAUACAAUUUUGUUGAGUAAUCAUUUAUGUAAUAGUACAGUAUCACCAUCAAUGCAGUUUCAGUUAUCAACGACCAGGUUUUCUACUGAAAGACGACACGGAUCAAUGUAAAUGCAGUAUAUGUAACACACAAAUCUGAUCUAAUAAUGGAUCCACCCCACACUUUCAGAGUUCAUUGAUAAAUUUGUGAAACAAGUGAACCACCAUUUUGGAGGUAAGGAGAAUGUAAUACUUGAAUGGAACACUAUAAGUAUGAAGUUUGAGAAGGCAAAAGCAAAGUAAGAUUAUCCAUUAGAAAUGGGCAGAGGCAGACGUUCCAUCUGGAAAAAGAUUUCUUAAUAUAUCAAAAUCAAUAAAAAGGUAACAAAAGCUUAAGUUAUGAAAUAGCCUAGAAAUGACUCUUGUUUAAGAAAGAGAAAAGAGGAUUCCUGUAGUACUUAAGGAAGAUAACUCAAGAUACAGGACUGGACUCCAAAUUAAGUCCAUUUAUCAUACAGUAAAACAUUACAGUACUAUACUUAAAAAAAAAUGUGUAAACUUGAAAUUUUACCCAUAAUGUACUAUACUGUAUACCAGUACUGUAUUUGCAUAUACCCCUAUGACUUAAUUGUGUUAAGUAAUAUUGGUAGCCAGGAUCAGCAAGUAGUAACGUGUUCAAUGACUUUGUGGCUAAAGUGCCCAGAUUAAUUUUUCAGGAGACAUGACAUGAAUAUAUGAGAAAAAUUAUUGUGACAUGAUGACAUAACUGGUCAAUGGGAAAUAGAUGAUGUUCCUGUUACAGUUACAAAAACUAAAGUGGCAUUCAUACUUAUUUCCAUUACACUGAGUAGAACCUUGUUAAUGGAUGUAACUUUAGAUUAAGCAUUCUAUAAUUGUGAGGAGUGAAAACCAUCUUGAUUUCAGUACUAUUAUGAUAAUACACUAACUUUGGGAGUGGGGGAACCACUGAACACACCAGUCACCCACUUCACCCACUCUCAAUCCUUUAAUUUAAUGGUUGGUGGAAAUUCACUAAACACUCACAAUUUUAGUGUAUUACAGGCAUCACUGAUACUGUAAGUGUUAUUACAGAUUUAUGCAUAUAAUUUUUAUAUUCAGUUAUAGAAAAUAGUGUCGUGACUCAUGGAUGAACGUACUGUACUGCACAUUUCUAGGCAAGUAGGAUAAGUAACCUGAUUGGGUAUUUAAACUUUUAAACUACUCACUUCUAUUCAUAAAAAAGGAGAAAUAUUUGCAAAGUUAAUUGGACAUUUUAAGCAGUGUUUAGGCACAUUAAUGUACAAAUUGCAUGAUUUUGAAAAAAUUAAAGCAUAAGCUCUCUUUUAUAAAAGAAUUAUCAAGGAGCCGGCUGAGGUGGCUUUGCCAGGCAUUGUGCCCCAGUCCUUGCAGCCAAUCCCAUGGCAAACUAACACAUAACACCUGUUAGCUGUCACCACCUUGGUGAGUACAAGCCAAAGCUGCUCUAGGCCUUACAGGCAGUACAAACAGCUGUGACAACCCAUUCACUAAGCAUGACAAAUGUUGCAUUGCUUUUCACCCCACGUAAAACCUUUCAAAAUUUCUGUUGCCACCAUAUAAAUGUGAAUUUGCAGUGCAGUAUAGUUUCAUCAAUACAGCAAUGAAUUAUCAUCUUAUGUACAUAAAAUGGGCGUUUCAUGUACCAAUUACCAUUUAAGCAUUUGACUAUUUUCAAAUCUCUAAUCUUGUUUGUGUUUAUUGUAUUUUAUCAGCACCAUAGUACCAUAGUCACACACCAUCAUGAUCCAUUUCUGUGACCUUUAUCAGCCUGGCAGAAGAUAUGUCACCUUUAAUAUACUUUUUUGACUUGUGAUGAUUCAAUCUAUCUUAUCAUUUCCCCUUUAUGGGCAAAUGAUUCUUUACUUCAUGGAUAGAUAAACCUUUCUCAAGGUGACCCAAUUUAUGAAAGGGUUCCAUUCCUGAAAAAUAUUUUAUAAAUUGGAUCCUAUUUUCCCAGACCCUCAUUACAGUACAGUAUAUCAACUAAGAUGUGUUCCAACGGAAAUCCCCCCGAUCAUCUGAAAAUGCUACAAAACGUGUUUUUAAAAAAAAAUUUUGGUGUGCACAAUGAUUAUACCAUAAGAGCAACGUGAACCUUGCUACACAUUGUUCGCAAGAUUAAUCUAUUUUCUUCUGAAUGUGCACACAAUAACAAUAUUGUACUUACUAUGGAUAAAACAAGAAAUGUUGCCAGCAAGUGAUAUAUUGCAUUUUGCAAUAUCCAUCGUCUGUGAUGUCAGAUUGUUGUGCGCGAAAUGUGCUGAUACUGAGAAACUCUGCCACUGGUUGUGAUGUAGUGCAAGACUGUGAGGCCCAGCCAAGAGUUACAGAUUUUAUUUGGCAUACAGUUCCUAUAUACAUUUUGAGAUUUUUGCUUUCACUGGAUUUGAUUUUUGAUGAGGUUUUGUUUGAAGAAAUUUUAUACUUAUCCAUUUAAAUUUUUUUCAAUCAACAUCAUAUCAAACUCUGGGACACUAAACACAUCAGCAUUGCCACAACUGAAGUAUUUUGAGUCAGCAUCUAGUCACUCCUUCACAUAACAAUCCCGUGAGUCAUAUCUAAAACUUUACAUAUAUUUUAUUUUAAAUUUAGUUAACCACUCUUAAUACAGCAGAGUUCUGUAUAUUGUUUUAGUAUACAUUAAUGUCUUUAAAAACUGACCAGGUCCACUUUGGAAAGCCUGGAAAUGUUUGCAUCAGCAACCUUCCGCUCCUGUAAAGAAAUUAUGAAAGCGAAAACCAAAUUUGUAACUUCGAUUUUUUUUUAUGUAAAUCGAAACAUAGGACAACUUUUUUUUUUUUUCAGUUUUCUUUCCCAAAAGGAAACGUUCAUUUUAUUGCCCAGUACCUGCAGGUUUUAUCUAAGUAUAUUUCAUGCCUGGUUAAAUGCACAUUUUUAUCCGAGUGCAAAAACUAUUUGCUAUCUGCUGUUAAUCACCUGCUUGGUCAAACUCAUGGAUUACCCACAGAUGCAUAAGAUUUUGUCUUGUAUGUGGAGGAAAGUAUUUAAAAAAUACAAGAGUGUAAUGGGGAAGGUAUGAGAGUAUCUUGGGAGGGACUGAAAGCUAAGAAAUAGUAGCAUGACUGGUUGUCAAAUAAGUAAUCACCAUGUAUCUGUGAUGGUUAGAGAAAAGAUUUCUUUGAUAUUUAACAAACACCAAGUUACAUGUUAUUUGCAGUACUGUACUGUAUUACGAUAAAUGAACUCAUCACAAUUAACAUUUGAAUUGGGGAAAAUUCACAACGAUCAUAUAUUACCACUAGGGCACAUGAGAGGUGAUACGUGAGUAUAGAAUAUCAACAGGGGCACUGCCAACUACAGAACCUUAGACUACUUUUACCUUAACAACAAUCAUCUACUCGAGUGUUAACCACCAAUAGUUCUGCGAUGUGUGACAUCCUCCCCUUGUGUCUAUGACUGGACUCCAAGACAACUUAUGCUUCCCCAGACUGGAAGAUGAAACUGCUUCCGUCUGCUUGUGGGGGAUGACAUUUAUUUGACUUCUGGAGGCCAAGGCUACCUACAAAGUCCGUACAGUAACACUACGUGGCGGGUGUGGUUGCUAGGUCAACUAGUCACGUAAAAAGGUUCCCCUGUGGGCGGAGAUAAGUUAUCUUAUUAGGUACAGUGCAUGUCAUUGGGGUGCUGACCCACGAAGUAGGUCUACAUUAUUGGCUCGCUCCAAGGUUUACCUUGUUUCAGCGUCUUAAGUAAAUACAGUUUUUUAACUCACUGUUCUAUACUUUCCACUGUUGUUCAUGUGUUGAAAUUUUAGUAUGACUAGUGCAGUAUACUUAUUUAACUAUCACUCAUUAUAAAAGAGUCAAAGUCAUACUUAUAUUUGGUAUCAGUGUGCAUAUGUGAUUCAAACAAUGGUGUGGUGGACUUAAACAAUGCCUAGCCCCUCUUAUUUCUUCUCCGAUAGGUUUGUUGUUCAGAAAAAAGGGACUCAUGAAAAUGAUGAGAUCAGAGUUUCAUUAAGUUUAGAACUUUAGGUGCUAAUUACCAACCAGAUUUUCAGUGUAUGAAUCAUAUUCAUUUGAAAACUGUUCAUAGUGGACAGAUAAUAAUAAAGGAAAAAUGACAGGGAAGGAGCUUUAUUCCUAACGUACCUGAGCCAUGUUGAACUAGUACCCAUUAUGUUUCACCCUGAGAUCCAGCUCUCCUUGUGUGACAUAGCUCCGCCCAUCGCCGUGGUCUAAAUUGAUGUAUAAAUAGCAGUAAACCCGUAUUGUGUGUUCAUUCCUUUGAAAAAGUCUUGACGAAACAUGAGGAAUAAAGCUCAAACUCUU
This 5367-nucleotide long non-coding RNA is filed under the name Homarus americanus (American lobster). Its description in RNAcentral is "uncharacterized LOC121860690". Lineage: Eukaryota; Metazoa; Arthropoda; Malacostraca; Decapoda; Nephropidae. The record is from RNAcentral.